RNAcentral lists this ribosomal RNA (447 nucleotides) under uncultured soil bacterium. RNAcentral describes it as "bacterial SSU rRNA". It matches the Rfam family "Bacterial small subunit ribosomal RNA", at positions 26 to 498 of the family's 1533-position model. The record is from RNAcentral.
AGAACGAACGCUGGCGGCAUGCCUAACACAUGCAAGUCGAACGAGACCUUCGGGUCUAGUGGCGCACGGGUGCGUAACGCGUGGGAAUCUGCCCUUGGGUUCGGAAUAACAGUUGGAAACGACUGCUAAUACCGGAUGAUGACGUAAGUCCAAAGAUUUAUCGCCCAGGGAUGAGCCCGCGUAGGAUUAGCUAGUUGGUGAGGUAAAGGCUCACCAAGGCGACGAUCCUUAGCUGGUCUGAGAGGAUGAUCAGCCACACUGGGACUGAGACACGGCCCAGACUCCACGGGAGGCAGCAGUAGGGGAAUAUUGGACAAGUGGGCGCAAGGCCUGAUCCAGACAAUGACCGCGUGAGUGAAUGAAGGCCGUUUAGGGUGUAAAACGGUCUUACGUUUUACCCGGGAUGGUAAUAAAGUUGAACAGGUAACCGGAGUAAAAGUAACGACC